AAAAGCUCCGGCAGUAUAGGAUGGUCCCGCGUCUGAUUAGCUGGUUGGCGGGGUAACGGCCCACCAAGGCGACGAUCAGUAGCCGGCUUGAGAGAGUGGACGGCCACAUUGGGACUGAGACACGGCCCAAACUCCUACGGGAGGCAGCAGUGGGGAAUAUUGCACAAUGGGGGAAACCCUGAUGCAGCGACGCCGCGUGAGUGAAGAAGUAUUUCGGUAUGUAAAGCUCUAUCAGCAGGGAAGAAAAAAGACGGUACCUGACUAAGAAGCCCCGGCUAACUACGUGCCAGCAGCCGCGGUAAUACGUAGGGGGCAAGCGUUAUCCGGAAUUACUGGGUGUAAAGGGUGCGUAGGUGGCAUGGUAAGUCAGAAGUGAAAGCCCGGGGCUUAACCCCGGGACUGCUUUUGAAACUGUCAUGCUGGAGUGCAGGAGAGGUAAGCGGAAUUCCUAGUGUAGCGGUGAAAUGCGUAGAUAUUAGGAGGAACACCAGUGGCGAAGGCGGCUUACUGGACUGUCACUGACACUGAUGCACGAAAGCGUGGGGAGCAAACAGGAUUAGAUACCCUGGUAGUCCACGCCGU
Molecule: ribosomal RNA, 582 nt
Filed under: uncultured bacterium
Lineage: Bacteria
Description: bacterial SSU rRNA
Rfam family: Bacterial small subunit ribosomal RNA
Source: RNAcentral